Molecule: ribosomal RNA, 429 nt
Filed under: uncultured bacterium
Lineage: Bacteria
Description: bacterial SSU rRNA
Rfam family: Bacterial small subunit ribosomal RNA
Source: RNAcentral
UGGGGAAUCUUGCGCAAUGGACGAAAGUCUGACGCAGCCACGCCGCGUGAGUGAAGAAGGCCUUCGGGUUGUAAAGCUCUGUCGGAGGGGACAAAAACGUUUAGGGUUAAUAGCCCUAGAUCUUGAUGGUACCCUCAAAGGAAGCACCGGCUAACUUCGUGCCAGCAGCCGCGGUAAUACGAAGGGUGCAAGCGUUGCUCGGAAUUAUUGGGCGUAAAGGGAAGGUAGGUGGUUACGUAUGUCUGAGGUGAAAGCCCCAAGCUCAACUUGGGAAGUGCCUUGGAAACGGCGUAACUAGAGUACUGGAGAGGUUGGUAGAAUUCCUGGUGUAGCGGUGAAAUGCGUAGAGAUCAGGAGGAAUACCAGAGGCGAAGGCGACGAACUGGACAGUUACUGACACUAAACUUCGAAAGCGUGGGGAGCAAACAG